UCGAGCAGGGUCGAAAGACGGACUUAGUGAUCCGGUGGUUCCGCAUGGAAGGGCCAUCGCUCAACGGAUAAAAGCUACCCCGGGGAUAACAGGCUUAUCUCCCCCAAGAGUUCACAUCGACGGGGAGGUUUGGCACCUCGAUGUCGGCUCAUCGCAUCCUGGGGCUGUAGUCGGUCCCAAGGGUUGGGCUGUUCGCCCAUUAAAGCGGUACGCGAGCUGGGUUCAGAACGUCGUGAGACAGUUCGGUCCCUAUCCGUCGUGGGCGUAGGAAAUUUGAGAGGAGCUGUCCUUAGUACGAGAGGACCGGGAUGGACAUACCUCUGGUGUACCAGUUGUCGUGCCAACGGCAUAGCUGGGUAGCUAUGUGUGGACGGGAUAAGUGCUGAAAGCAUCUAAGCAUGAAGCCCCCCUCAAGAUGAGAUUUCCCAACUUCGGUUAUAAGAUCCCUCAAAGA
RNAcentral lists this ribosomal RNA (454 nucleotides) under Staphylococcus aureus. RNAcentral's name for it is "partial 23S ribosomal RNA". It matches the Rfam family "Bacterial large subunit ribosomal RNA", at positions 2389 to 2844 of the family's 2925-position model. Lineage: Bacteria; Bacillati; Bacillota; Bacilli; Caryophanales; Staphylococcaceae. The record is from RNAcentral.